This 76-nucleotide transfer RNA is filed under the name Bacillota bacterium. RNAcentral's name for it is "Firmicutes bacterium (anaerobic digester metagenome) tRNA-Thr". It matches the Rfam family "tRNA". Rfam says of the family: Transfer RNA (tRNA) molecules are approximately 80 nucleotides in length. Their secondary structure includes four short double-helical elements and three loops (D, anti-codon, and T loops). Further hydrogen bonds mediate the characteristic L-shaped molecular structure. tRNAs have two regions of fundamental functional importance: the anti-codon, which is responsible for specific mRNA codon recognition, and the 3' end, to which the tRNAs corresponding amino acid is attached (by aminoacyl-tRNA synthetases). tRNAs cope with the degeneracy of the genetic code in two manners: having more than one tRNA (with a specific anti-codon) for a particular amino acid; and 'wobble' base-pairing, i.e. permitting non-standard base-pairing at the 3rd anti-codon position. The record is from RNAcentral. Lineage: Bacteria; Bacillati; Bacillota.
GCCGGCGUAGCUCAAUCGGUAGAGCGGCGCAUUCGUAAUGCGUAGGUUAGCGGUUCAAGUCCGCUCGCCGGCUCCA